UCGGGAAUUUUGGGCAAUGGGGGAAACCCUGACCCAGCAACGCCGCGUGAAGGAUGAAGUAUUUCGGUAUGUAAACUUCGAAAGAAUAGGAAGAAUAAAUGACGGUACUAUUUAUAAGGUCCGGCUAACUACGUGCCAGCAGCCGCGGUAAUACGUAGGGACCAAGCGUUGUUCGGAAUUACUGGGCGUAAAGCGCGUGUAGGUGGUCGAGUAAGUCGAAUGUGAAAGCCCCGGGCUCAACCCGGGAAGUGCAUCCGAAACUGCUCGACUAGAGUCCCGGAGAGGAAGGCAGAAUUCCCAAUGUAGGGGUGAAAUCCGUAGAUAUUGGGAGGAAUACCGGUGGCGAAGGCGGCCUUCUGGACGGUGACUGACACUCAGACGCGAAAGCGUGGGGAGCAAACAGGAUUAGAUACCCCCGUAGUCCCUGAGCGGGCUGGCAAGGCGCAU
RNAcentral lists this ribosomal RNA (447 nucleotides) under uncultured bacterium. RNAcentral describes it as "bacterial SSU rRNA". It matches the Rfam family "Bacterial small subunit ribosomal RNA", at positions 355 to 825 of the family's 1533-position model. The record is from RNAcentral.